AAACUCAAAUGAAUUGACGGGGCCCGCACAAGCGGUGAGCAUGUGGUUCAAUUCGACGCAACGCGAAGAACCUUACCUGGGCUUGACAUCCGCUGACCGUCCUGGAAACAGGAUCUUCCCGCAAGGGGACGGCGAGACAGGUGCUGCAUGGCUGUCGUCAGCUCGUGUCGUGAGAUGUUGGGUUAAGUCCCGCAACGAGCGCAACCCUCAUCCUUAGUUGCCAUCAUUGAGUUGGGCACUCUAAGGAAACUGCCCCGGUUAACGGGGAGGAAGGUGGGGAUGACGUCAAGUCCUCAUGGCCUUUAUGUCCAGGGCUACACACGUGCUACAAUGGGCGGUACAAAGGGUUGCAAUACCGUAAGGUGGAGCUAAUCCCAAAAAGCCGCUCUCAGUUCAGAUUAGAGUCUGCAACUCGACUUUAUGAAGGCGGAAUCGCUAGUAAUCGCGGAUCAGCAUGCCGCGGUCGAAUACGUUCCGGGCCUU
Molecule: ribosomal RNA, 483 nt
Filed under: uncultured delta proteobacterium
Lineage: Bacteria; Deltaproteobacteria
Description: bacterial SSU rRNA
Rfam family: Bacterial small subunit ribosomal RNA
Source: RNAcentral